UUUUUUUUUUUUUUUUUUUUUUCUUUUUUCUUUUUCUUUUUAGUAUCGAACCUGCAGCAUAUGGAAGUUCCCAAGCUAGGUGGUGAAUUAGAGCUGCCACUGCUGGCCUACACCACAGCCACAGCAAUGUGGGAUUCAAGCUAUAUCUGUGACCUAUGCCACAGCCUGUGGCAACUCAGGAUCCUUAACCACUGAGCAAGGCUAGGGAUUGAACCUGAAUCCUCAUAGACCCUGUUGAGUUCUUAGUCCACUAAGCCACAGCAAGAACUCCAGGUAUGGGGUCUUAUAAUCAAAAUUCAUCUCUAUAGAAAUGAUAAAGCUCUAUGUUGGCUCCCUCAGAACUCUUGCUAUGGUCAUAAAGUGGGCUUUGCUCCAGUCUCUCAAAAAGCAGAGAAGUGGAAAAAAACACAAUUCUCUUGGGUUCAUGUAGCUCUUAUAUGGCUCAGGUCCUUCUAAAUUUCAAGACGAAGUAAAUAUCCUAGCACCUGGGAACUUCCGUAUGUUGUGGGUGCAGCCCUUAAAAACAUAAGCACGCAAAGAAACAAAAAACUAGAACAAAAGAGAAGCUGGGUCAAAUAUACUUGGGCUUAUUUCCACAGCUUUGGAACAGCACUUGUAAAGGGAAGAGUAACCAUGCCCACCCUCAUCACACAGAAAGCUGUUGCUCACUAGGGUUUGUUUUUUCAUUAAAGUUCUUAGUGGGAGUUCCCACUGUGGCUCAGCGAAAACGAACCAGACUAGGAUCCAUGAGGGUUUGGGUUUGAUCUCUGGCCUUGCUCAGUGGGUUAAGGAUCCAGUGUUGCUGUGAACUGUGGUGUUGGUCACAGACUUGGCUCAGAUCUGGCUUUGCUGUGGCUGUGAUGUAGGCUGGCAGCUGCAGCUCUGAUUUGACCCCUAGUGUGGGUACUUCCAUAUGCCGAAAGUGCAGCUCUAAAAAGCAAAAACAGCCAACCAAACAAUAACUAGUUCUUAGUAAUAAGACUGGUAAACACUGAUGCAGAAACACAUUGAAAUCAUAGCCUGUCUCCUUGGUAGGCCAUUAUACUCCUCUAAGAUGCUCUACUGCCACCAGGAAUGUGGUUUCCAGAAAACCAAGCCAGUGAAACAAACAGAAACAUAAAAACAGAAAUGAAGUUGCCAGAGGCAAAGUUUCUCCGCUGCUUGGCCCAUGCAAACUCAUUCCUUCCAUACAUGUCCAGGAAUGGUGGCCUAUGGAUAGCAACUUAAAUCUACAUACUUCUGCUUGUUUUUUUUAACAUAAAUAUUUUAUUUUUGAACAUGUAACAUAUAUACAUAUUUUAAAAAUUCACAAAGUACAAAGAUCAUGUUAGUAAUCAGAAAUAAUCCCUCUCCCUAUUAUUUAUUUAUAGUUUUUUUCUUUUUUAUUACUCAAUGAAUUUAUUACAUUUAUAGUUGUACAAUGAUCAUCACAAUCAGUUCUCUAGUAUUUCCAUCCCCCACCCCCGGCGCAUCCCCCCACCCCCUAACCUCUCUCCUUUGGAAACCAUAAGUUUUUCAAAUUCUGUGAGUCAGUAUCUGUUCUGCACAGAAGUUCAUUCUGUCCUUUUUUCAGAUUCCACAUGUGAUAGCACUUGAUGUUGGUGUCUCAUUGUAUGGCUGACUUCACUUAGCAUGAUGAUUUCUAGGUCUAUCCAUGUUGCUAAAAGUGCCGUUAAUUUCAUUCCUUUUAAUGGCCGAGUAAUAUUCCAUUGUGUAUAUGUACCACAUCUUCUUGAUCCACUCCUCUGUCGAUGGACAUUUAGGUUGUUUCCAUGUCUUGGCUGUUGCAAAUAGUGCUGCAAUGAACAUUGGAGUACAUAUAUCUCUUUGAGUCAUGGUUUCUUCUGGAUAGAUGCCCAGGAGUGGGAUUGUUGGACCAAAUGGUAGUUCUACUUUUAGUUUUCUGAGGCAUCUCCAUACUGUUUUCCACAGUGGUUGCACCAAUUUACAAUCCCACCAACAGUGUCAUAGGGUUCCUUUUUCUCCACACCCUCUCCAGCACUUCUUGUUUGUAGCCUUUUUGAUGAUGGCCAUUCUGGCAGGUGUAAGGUGGUACCUCAUAGUGGUUUUGAUGUGCAAUAAUUAGUGCAAUAAUUAGUGAUGUUGAACAUCUUUUCAUGUGUUUUUUGGCCAUCCGUUUGUCUUCUUUGGAGAACUGUCUGUUUAGAUCUUCUGCCCUUUUUUUGUUGGGGUUGUUUGUUUUUUUUGGUAUUGAAUGGUAGGAGGUGUUUAUAAAUUUUGGAGAUUCAUUUGCAAAGAUUUUCUCCCAUUCUGUGGGUUGUCUUUUCGUUUAUUUUUAAAUUACAAAUAUUAAUAUAUGCUUCUUGUAACAAAUGUAUAAGAGUGCUCAAAGUAAAAAGGAAAAGCUAAGCUGUAUUAGUGCCCUGUUGCUGCUAUAAAAAACUACCAAGAACUCGGUGGCCUAAAACAACACAAAUUUAUUCUUUUAUGGCUCUGGUGCCAGGAGUCUGAAAUGGACCAGUCACCCCAUCUCAAGAUCCCCAGGGAUUCUGAUUUAAUUGGUCUGGGCUGUUGACCUGGGUGGGCGUCAGCACUUUCAAACUUGCAAAGUGAUUCUAACAUGAAAAAGCCCUUCCCUGAAUGUGCUGCUUUGUGACAAACAUGGAUGAUUUACUUAUUCUAUGACUCCUAGGGAUUUCCACCCUGUAUCAUACCUGUGUACUCCUGUUCACUCUCAGGAUGUUAGAUCCAUGGUAUGGGCUCGUGUGGUUGUUGGAGCCCUUUCCUCACAUCAUAAGAUACCCCUAGGGGAACAUGACUUUGUUAGCCAAAAUAAUGAUAUAUCUGUGAGGUGUAAUGAUCUCAAAGAUAACAAACCAGAGACCCCCAGGAGUAUUAGAACCAAACAGACCAAGAUAUUUAAAUAAGCUUAAUACAUAUGUGAAAAGACAAUACGGGCAGUCUGAAACAGAAACACAAAAACAUAAAAAGAACUUAAUAUAAAUAUCAGGUACAGAAAAGAACUGAAAUAAGCAACAUAACGGAUGGUAUCAAUAAUGGAAUGGAUACAGCUGAAGAAGCAAUUGUUGAGUUAAAACGAUUGAAAAACUCUCCCAAGAAGAAAACAGGAGAGGGCAAAGUAAUAGAAAAUAUAAAAGUUAAGCUAUAUGGAGAAGAGAAGUGGUAACUUCUACAGAUAAAUGAUUCUUGAAGGAGAGAAAUACAACAAUGAAGAAAAUAUGCGAAGAAACAAUGUAGAAUUUUUCCCAGAAUUAUAGAAAUACGAAAGACCUCAGAUUGUAAAGGCCCCUAAAGUUUCAAACGGAGAGAAAAGGGAAGUGUAGACAUAGAACAGUGUAAUUUAAGAAGACCAAAAACAAAUACGAUUUUGAUGUCUUACAAAGAAAAACACACAACCUUCAAAUAAUGUUAUUCUUCUUCCCAGUAGGAACAGAUGCAGGAAGACAAUAAUGUCUCAAUGCAUUGGAGGAGAACACUUUGAUUCUAGAGUUUUGUAUCCUGUAAAAUUUCCAUUCACAGGAAUGUGAAUGUAUGUCAGAACUUAAUGAAACAAUCUCAGCCAUACAAAAUUUCAAAAGGGUCUUUAAACAAAGAUGCCCAGUUUUCGAGAAAGUCUUCACAUAUGAAGAGGAACAAAUCUAGGAGAUGCUACAAAGAGAUAUGAAAAGUUGAUCACAUAACUGGGAAAAUAACACAAUCUAAUAAAACAGAAUAAAAGUAAAAAGAUAAGCAAAAUUGGAGAAAUUUUGUAUGUAACAACCCAGGAUUUAAAUCUUAAGAAUUAUCACAAGAUCAAGAUGACAGCGUGUGAAGGGAGAGAAAGGAACAUGAAAAUGGGCUUAACGUUCUAAUCUUGGAAGGAGGGUGUGGGUUGCAUUUGUCCCCAGAAAUAUAAUUCUAGUUCUAAACACCAGUCCCUGGGAAUGUGACCUUAUGUGGAAAUAGGGUUUUUAUAGAUGUGUUCACGUUAGGGUGAGAGCCAUGCUAAAUUAGGAUGGGUCCUUAAAACAUUGACUGGUGGUGCCCUUAUGAAGAAGGAAGUAUUUGGAUGUAGAAACACAGACACACAGGGAGAAAGGCCAUGUGAAAAUGAGGCACAGAUUGGAGUGGUCCAGUAACUCCAGAGCUAGGAGAGAGGCAAGAGAGGUGAGAAGCCGACCCUCCCUCCCAGCCUCCAGAGGGCGCCAACCCUGCCAACACAGCUUCAGACUUCCAGCCUCCAGAGAUGUGAUACAGUGCUUUUCUGUUGUAAGCCAUGCAGAUGGUGGUACUUUGUUAUGGCAGCCCCACAAUGAAAUAGGGAGAGAUACAGAUAUCAAGUUUAAAAGGGGGGAGGUAUAUAUAGAAAAGGAAGGAGUUCCUGUUGUGGCUUAGCCAAAAUGAGCCUGACUAUUUCCAUGAGGAUGGGGGUUUGAUCCCUGGCCUCGCUCAGUGGGUUAAAGAUCUGGCAUUGCCAUGAGCUGUGGUGUAGGUUGCAGAUGCAGCUUGGAUCCUGCAUUCUGUGGCUGUGGCAUAGGCUGGCAGCUGUAGCUCUGAUUCGACUCCUAGCUUGAGAACCUCCAUAUGCCAUGGGCGCGGCCCUAAGAAAACUGUAUGUAUGUGUGUAUGUAUGUAUGUAUAUUAGAAGGGAAACUGAAUGUAAAAAAGGAAGAUGAUACAGUUGAUAUAAAUAAACUUGCCAAUGAAAAAGGACAAAUUGAUAGAAUGGAUUUUUUAAAAACCCAGCUACAUGCUGAUUUAUAAAACAGACUUAAACACAUAAGGCUAUAGAGAGUUGGAAAGUAAAAGGAUGGAAAAUAUAUGUUAGGUAAAUUCUAAUUAAAAGAAAGCUGGUGUCACUGUAUUAAUAUAAAAAUAUACAAGGCCUUAAAACAGCAUCAUUAGGGAUAUAGAAGUUUACUGUACAAUAGUAAAUGGUCAGUUCCUAAGAAGAUAUAAAAAUUCUACACAUGUAUACAGUUGGUGAAUUAAUUCGAAUACUCAAAAAUUGAUAAAACUGGAGUUCCCGUGGUGCAGUGGUUAACGAAUCCAACUAGGAACCAUGAGGAUGCGGGUUCGGUCCCUGCCCUUGCUCAGUGGGUUAAGGAUCCGGCAUUGCCAUGAGCUGUGGUGUAGGUUGCAGACGCGGCUCGGAUCCUGCGUUGCUGUGGCUCUGGCAUAGGCCGGGGACUACAGCUGUGAUUAGACCCCUAGCGUGGGAACCUCCAUAUGCCGCGGGAGCGGCCCAAAGAAAUAGCAAAAAGACAAAAAAAAAAAAAAAUUGAUAAAACUAAGAAGAAAUUAACAAAUUUAAUGUCAUGGUAGAGAAUUUAGCAAACACCUAUUUGAAUGACACAAUUAAGCUUGACUUGAUAGCCACAUAUAAACAUUAGAAAAAUUCAUCAUUUUCUAAGCUGUUUUAUAAAACAAAUUUUAGCAAAUUUCAAAGAAUAGGUACAAAUUACAAUUGUUAGAAUUUCUUUUUUUCUUUUUUUUAGGGCUAGUCCUGCAGCAUAUGGAAGUUCCUGGGCUAGGUAGGAGGGUUGAAUAGGAGCUGCAGCUGCUGGCCCCAGCCACAGCCACAACAAUGCCACAUCUGAGCCCCACGGCAAUGCCACAUCUGAGCCGCAUCUGCAACUUGUGGCAAUGCCGGAUCCUUAACCCACUGAUCAAGGCCAGGGAUCGAACACACAUCUUCAUGGAUCCUUGUCAGGCUCUUAACCCGCUUAGUCACAAUGAGAACUCCUAUUAGAAUUUAAUGACAAAAACAAGAUACUGAAAUUUUCUAUUAUUUGGAGAUUUAAACAAUCUACACUUCUAAAAAGCUCAUGGCUUAAAUAUAAAAUUGUGAACAAAAUUAGAAAAUACUGAAAAAUCAGUGACAUUCCUUUCAACCAUGUGAACAUUUGAAAGAUGACCCGCAUAUUGUUGUUCUCUGAACAAAAUGAAUUAAGCUGGGAACAAAGGAGUUACUAGAAAAUCCUAAUGUGUUUGCCAUUUAAAAAUUAUACUUUUGAUAAUUUUUAUGUAAUAAAAAUAAUAACCCAUGGAUCAAAGAAGAAAUCAUAAGGAAAAUUAGAACAUGUUUUUUUGGUUUUAUUUUUUUGUCUUUUUAGGUCUAUACCUGGGGCACAUGGAGGUUCCCAAGAUAGGGGUCAAAUCAGAGCUGUAGCCUCUGGCCUACAUCACAGCCUCAGCAACCCCAGAUUCAAGCUGUGUCGCUGACUACACCACAGCUCAGAGCAAUGCUGGAUCCUUAACCCACCGAGUGAGGCCAGGGAUCAAACCCUUCGUCCUCACAUAUACUAGUCAGAUUCAUCUCCGCUGAGCCACGACAGGAACUUCUGAAAAUUACAACAUGUUCUGAACAAUAGCAGACAUAAUUCCUAUUAAAACAUGUGGAAUAUUAUCUUUACUACAUUAAAACAUAUGUUGAGGAAAAAUUAUAGCUAUCAGUGCAUACAUUUAAAAAGAAUAAAUGCUGAAAAUUCAUGAGUCAGGCAAAAUGAACCAUUAAAACUGACCAAAGAA
Molecule: long non-coding RNA, 6492 nt
Filed under: Sus scrofa (pig)
Lineage: Eukaryota; Metazoa; Chordata; Mammalia; Artiodactyla; Suidae
Description: lncRNA (ENSSSCG00060072233.1)
Source: RNAcentral